GGAGGGUGCGAGCGUUGUCCGGAAUCACUGGGCGUAAAGGGCGCGUAGGCGGCACAGUAAGUAGGUGGUGAAAUCUCACGGCUCAACCGUGAAACGGCCUCCUAAACUGCUGAGCUCGAGCACGGUAGAGGCAGAUGGAAUUCCCGGUGUAGCGGUGGAAUGCGUAGAUAUCGGGAAGAACACCAGUGGCGAAGGCGGUCUGCUGGGCCGUUGCUGACGCUGAGGCGCGACAGCGUGGGGGGAGCAAACAGGAUUAGAUACCCUGGUAGUCCACGCCGUAAACGAUGGGUACUAGGCGUCGGGGGGGAGCGACCCCUUCGGUGCCGUCGCUAACGCAGUAAGUACCCCGCCUGGGGAGUACGGCCGCAAGGCUG
Molecule: ribosomal RNA, 374 nt
Filed under: uncultured organism
Description: partial 16S ribosomal RNA
Rfam family: Bacterial small subunit ribosomal RNA
Source: RNAcentral